This 922-nucleotide ribosomal RNA is filed under the name uncultured Cystobacter sp. RNAcentral's name for it is "bacterial SSU rRNA". It matches the Rfam family "Bacterial small subunit ribosomal RNA", at positions 56 to 959 of the family's 1533-position model. Lineage: Bacteria; Pseudomonadati; Myxococcota; Myxococcia; Myxococcales; Archangiaceae. The record is from RNAcentral.
UGCAAGUCGAGCGCGAAUGGAGCAAUCCUAGUAGAGCGGCGCACGGGUGCGUAACACGUGGAUAAUCUGCCUAGAAGACCGGAAUAACCUGCCGAAAGGCUGGCUAAUACCGGAUAAGCCCCCAGGGUCCUCGGACCUCGUGGGAAAAGGUGGCCUCUGUAUACAAGCUAUCACUUUUAGAUGAGUCCGCGGCCCAUCAGUUAGUUGGCGGGGUAAUGGCCCACCAAGACUACGACGGGUAGCUGGUCUGAGAGGACGAUCAGCCACACUGGAACUGAGACACGGUCCAGACUCCUACGGGAGGCAGCAGUGGGGAAUUUUGCACAAUGGGCGAAAGCCUGAUGCAGCAACGCCGCGUGUGUGAUGAAGGUCUUCGGAUCGUAAAGCACUUUCGACCGGGACGAAAACCCUUUGGCUAACAUCCAAAGGCUUGACUGUACCGGGAGAAGAAGCACCGGCUAACUCUGUGCCAGCAGCCGCGGUAAUACAGAGGGUGCAAGCGUUGUUCGGAAUUAUUGGGCGUAAAGCGCGUGUAGGCGGCUUUGCAAGUCGGGUGUGAAAGCCCCCAGCUCAACUGAGGAAGUGCGCCCGAAACUGCAGAGCUUGAGUACCGGAGAGGAUGGCGGAAUUCCCCAAGUAGAGGUGAAGUUCGUAGAUAUGGGGAGGAACACCGGUGGCGAAGGCGGCCAUCUGGACGGAUACUGACGCUGAGACGCGAAAGCGUGGGUAGCAAACAGGAUUAGAUACCCUGGUAGUCCACGCCGUAAACGAUGAGAACUAGGUGUCGUGGGUGUUGACCCCCGCGGUGCCGUAGCUAACGCAUUAAGUUCUCCGCCUGGGAAGUACGGCCGCAAGGCUAAAACUCAAAGGAAUUGACGGGGGCCCGCACAAGCGGUGGAGCAUGUGGUUUAAUUCGACGCAA